CCUCUCUCCGCUCCUGAUGCCGCUCUUGCUUUCCUUUUCACCACCCUUCCCGCCUACAGCCCACUAAGCACUCAAGCCGAAAACCCCCUCUGCCCUUGACUUCGCGGUGACAGGGGCACAGGGAGAGAUGUACGCGCUCGCAUGCAUGCUUCCUUCUCACGAGUAGCAUGGGCGGCUCCAUUGGCAAGGCGCGCUUCUCACUCUCCGCUUCCUCCACCACAGGGGAUGAGAUGGAGGGGCAGGGGUGGCGGAGACGCACCUUGUGCGGCGCCACAAAUCUACCGCGAGUGAACAAGAGCAAGGCAGCGAUGGGGUCUGGUAUCACCCCCGCCGCUACCCGAGCUUCCCAGAGGCGUGACAGUGGCAGCUCCGACACCUGAAGCGGCACAUUGCGCCGCCGUACGGCAGGAACCUGCGCUUCCCGUGGCGCCCCACCGCACUGCACUACCUCGGCGCGCUCCGACCGAGAGGGUGGCGUUGUAGGAGAGCCACAUCAAGGCUCGCCUCGACACACUGAAAGGGAGGAGAAGGGGGGAAGGCACUGGAGGCGGGUUUUGUGGUUUUCUCCACCGUCUACACGUCGGAAUGUGGUGGUGGUGGUGGGGUGGGGGGGGCGGAGAGGCAACGGCCCGAGCUCGCGCCGUUUGCUGCCCUCGCGCGGCAGUUUCAGGACGCCAAUGUGACUCCAUCGUUCCAGCAGAUCGUGGACAUGAACUGGGCCUCCUGGACCCAGCAGCUCUUUGAAUUCCUCGAGGCGAAGACCGGCGCCUGCGGUGGGCUGCUUCACAUGUGCUUCUUCUGCUAUCCCGCUACCGUUUCGUACGGGAUGGUAUCUGACAGCACCUCGAAGAUCAGCGGCGGGUCUCGUAUGACUGCUCAAGGGCUGGCUGGCAACCUGCACAAGGAGGAUGUGGCCGUGCACCUUAAUGAGGUGCAUAGGCUCAAUGCCCCGGAGCCGGACGUACGGAAGUGUACGCCGGCGGCGUGGCCCGCCUACGAAGAGUAGCCGCUUGCGGGGUAGCGGGGCGGCGGCCGGAGCUGCCCUCUCUCAUGGCGGAUGGACCUCUGCAGAAUGUACGUAUGCGCGCAGAGGAGAAAGCACCACAAGCCUUGCUCUUUCUCUAUUCCUUUUCUCGGUAACGGCCGGCCCCCUCUGCGGAGUUCGCUCUGACAUGAACAUCAUUGCAAUGUGCAGCGUCGCCGGUGCGCGUCGGUGUGCUGUGCUGCCGUCGCCGAGGCGUGCAUUUACGUCUCCUUGUGCGUGUGGUGGUGGGGGCGGCGGUGGUGUGCAGAGCUUCGCGGCUCCCGUUUUUCCGCCUGCUUGCGAGAUGUUUCUCUCUCCCGUAUAUGUUGUCUUGGCUUUGCCUGCUUACUUGUCAGGCGGCUUCAUCUGUCUGCUACUCGAACCGUUCGUCAUCGCAGAGUCUUUCGCCGUGUUUCGAUGUUUUGUGGGCACGGAGGCCCUGACUCUGUCGUGGGUUUCACUGCGUCUUUUCGGUUUUCCGUUGGUAUGAUGUGGCGCUCUGAGCUUCUCCGUCUCCGGUGGUGGGGUGAGGGAGGAACAGGCGAAAGAAAGAGAGAGGCACAGACUAUGCAUCUGAGCGUGCGUGUCUGUGUGGCUGUCUGUCUGUCCCCCACCUCUCCCCCUGCGCAUGUCGUUCUAUCAAGGGAGAGAGGGUGGGGUGGGUGGGGCUUCGCGCUGUCUGCAGCGUCUUCUUCUUGUUCGUGUGUUUCGUGUUUUUGUGCUUGCCCCUCCCUCCUUGUCUUUUCCCCUGCUACCCGUUCAUGACGGGAGCGCAGGAGGAGGAUCAGGAACGCCAGCGUACCCCCGAACAAUCGAUGUGCACGCGCGUGCGUACGUGUGCACGAGCUGCUUCGCGCGACUGCGUGGUGGUGUGCUCUGUACCCUCUGGACACCCUUCCCACCAAGAAGAAAAAAAGGACAAGACAUUCAUGAUUCUCUCACGAUGUGCAUGCGUGCCCCCCAGAUGCUUUCCAAACCUGCGUCUGCCUGCAUCUCUCUCCCGCUCCAUCAUGUCGCCACGCGCGUUGGGAUACACCCAACAAACCGCGGCAGACG
Molecule: unclassified non-coding RNA, 2080 nt
Filed under: Leishmania donovani
Lineage: Eukaryota; Euglenozoa; Kinetoplastea; Trypanosomatida; Trypanosomatidae
Description: gene:unknown
Source: RNAcentral